UGUGGCGUAGCCAAGUUGGUAAGGCACCGGAUUGUUACUCCGACCAUGCGAAGGUUCGAAUCCUUCCGCCCCAGCCA
RNAcentral lists this transfer RNA (77 nucleotides) under compost metagenome. Its description in RNAcentral is "tRNA-Asn". It matches the Rfam family "tRNA". Rfam says of the family: Transfer RNA (tRNA) molecules are approximately 80 nucleotides in length. The record is from RNAcentral.